GUGCUUGCUUCAGCAGCACAUACACUAAAACUGGAAUGAUACAGAGAAGAUUAGCAUGGCCUCAGAGCAAGGAUGACAUGCAAAUUCGUAAAGUGUUCCUUAUUUUU
Molecule: small nuclear RNA, 107 nt
Organism: Otolemur garnettii (small-eared galago)
Lineage: Eukaryota; Metazoa; Chordata; Mammalia; Primates; Galagidae
Source: Ensembl